CCUACGGGAGGCAGCAGUGAGGAAUAUUGGUCAAUGGGCUUACGUCUGAACCAGCCAAGUCGCGUGAGGGAAGACUGCCCUAUGGGUUGUAAACCUCUUUUGUCAGGGAGCAACGCCGGCUACGUGUAGCCGGACUGAGAGUACCUGAAGAAAAAGCAUCGGCUAACUCCGUGCCAGCAGCCGCGGUAAUACGGAGGAUCCGAGCGUUAUCCGGAUUUAUUGGGUUUAAAGGGAGCGUAGAUGGGUUGUUAAGUCAGUUGUGAAAGUUUGCGGCUCAACCGUAAAAUUGCAAUUGAUACUGGCAGUCUUGAGUACAGUUGAGGUAGGCGGAAUUCGUGGUGUAGCGGUGAAAUGCUUAGAUAUCACGAAGAACCCCGAUUGCGAAGGCAGCUUACUAAACUGUGACUGACAUUGAUGCUCGAAAGUGUGGGUAUCAAACAGGAUUAGAUACCCUUGUAGUC
RNAcentral lists this ribosomal RNA (461 nucleotides) under uncultured bacterium. RNAcentral describes it as "partial 16S ribosomal RNA". It matches the Rfam family "Bacterial small subunit ribosomal RNA", at positions 338 to 795 of the family's 1533-position model. The record is from RNAcentral.